RNAcentral lists this long non-coding RNA (667 nucleotides) under Capsicum annuum. RNAcentral describes it as "long non-coding RNA (CANN_LNC018433)". Lineage: Eukaryota; Viridiplantae; Streptophyta; Magnoliopsida; Solanales; Solanaceae. The record is from RNAcentral.
UGCCGGAUGUAACUAAAAUGUAGGAAUUAGCUAAAAGUCGAAGUAACUAAGAAAACAACAAAAAAUAACAAAAAUAAAAAUACUAUAAAUACAAACAAAAAAAAUAGUAAAAACAAUGUAAAGGAACCGAAAAUAAAAUUAUAAAGAAAUUAAAAUAUCAAGCAACUAAAAUAGUAAAGCUCAGAUAUCACCGGAGUACUCCUGUGUAUCCUGGUCACGACAAUUUUGGUGUCGAAAAUUGGUCGCCGGAGUAAGGUCGCCGGAAAUAGUCUGGCUAUGUGUCGCCGGAAUGUUACCUGAGAUUCCUCUCGGUGUUGCCAGGAGCUGGUCUCCCGUGGACUUCUUACCUCCUGUAUUAAACCAGUUCAGACCGGUCUUCACCAUUCCACCGACGCCGGAGUCGAGCCGACGGAAACCCUAGCUCCUCCGAAGAUGACAAAGGUGCGAUGAUAAAAUGAACUGUAGGGGGUAGGGGACUUGGGAGGGGGGAGGGGAAGAGAGAGAGAGAGAGAGAGAAAAGUGAGGGAGGGAGGGGGUGUGGCUUCACCUAUUUACGGCGCUUCUACACCGUUGCCGGCGUCGGCCGGUCAGACAGUGACCAUUGAAAGUGAAAAGGAACGUUAAGAGGAGAGAGAAGAAAAGGAACCUUUUCAAUCAUUUACAGUAG